GACGAACGCUGGCGGCGUGCUUAACACAUGCAAGUCGAACGGAAAGGCCCUGCUUUUGUGGGGUGCUCGAGUGGCGAACGGGUGAGUAACACGUGAGUAACCUGCCCUUGACUUUGGGAUAACUUCAGGAAACUGGGGCUAAUACCGGAUAGGAGCUCCUGCUGCAUGGUGGGGGUUGGAAAGUUUCGGCGGUUGGGGAUGGACUCGCGGCUUAUCGGCUUGUUGGUGGGGUAGUGGCUGACCAAGGCUUUGACGGGUAGCCGGCCUGGGAGGGUGACCGGCCUCAUGGCGCCUGCGAUACGGCCCAGACGCCUACGGGAGGCAGCAGUGGGGAAUCUGGCACAGUGGGCGGAAGCCUGAUGCAGCAACGCCGCGUGCGGGAUGACGGCCUUCGGGUUGUAAACCGCUUUCGCCUGUGACGAAGCGUGAGUGACGGUAAUGGGUAAAGAAGCACCGGCUAACUACGUG
RNAcentral lists this ribosomal RNA (468 nucleotides) under uncultured bacterium. RNAcentral describes it as "partial 16S ribosomal RNA". It matches the Rfam family "Bacterial small subunit ribosomal RNA", at positions 28 to 507 of the family's 1533-position model. The record is from RNAcentral.